RNAcentral lists this ribosomal RNA (489 nucleotides) under uncultured bacterium. Its description in RNAcentral is "partial 16S ribosomal RNA". It matches the Rfam family "Bacterial small subunit ribosomal RNA", at positions 28 to 507 of the family's 1533-position model. The record is from RNAcentral.
GACGAACGCUGGCGGCGUGCUUAACACAUGCAAGUCGAACGGAAAGGCCCCCAUCUUGGUGGGGGUGCUCGAGUGGCGAACGGGUGAGUAACACGUGGGUGAUCUGCCCUGUACUUCGGGAUAAGCUUGGGAAACUGGGUCUAAUACCGGAUAGGACCAUGGUUUAGUGUCUCAUGGUGGAAAGAUUAUUGUUUUGGUGCAGGAUGAGCUCGCGGCCUAUCAGCUUGUUGGUGGGGUAAUGGCCUACCAAGGCGUCGACGGGUAGCCGGCCUGAGAGGGUGGACGGCCACAUUGGGACUGAGAUCCGGCCCAGACUCCGACGGGAGGGAGCAGAGGGGAAUAUGGCACAAUGGGCGCAAGCCGGAGGCAGCGACGCCGCGUGGGGGAUGACGGCCUUCGGGUUGUAAACUCCUUUCGUUAGGGACGAAGCCGCACUUUUUUUGGGUGUGGUGACGGUACCUUUGUUAAGAAGCACCGGCUAACUACGUG